CCUACGGGAUGCAGCAGUGAGGAAUAUUGGUCAAUGGGCGGGAGCCUGAACCAGCCAAGCCGCGUGAGGGAAGAAGGUACUGAGUAUUGUAAACCUCUUUUGCCAGGGGACAUAGGCGGCCAUGGGUGGCCGUAAGAGGGUAGCUGGCGAAAAAGCAGCGGCUACCUCCGUGCGCGCAGCCGGGGUAAUACGGAGGAUGCGAGCGUUAUCCGGAUUUAUUGGGGUGUAAGGGUGCGCAGGCGGCGUGUCAAGUCAUCGGUAAAAUGUCGGGGCUAAACCCCGGCCGGCCGUUGAAACUGGCGUGCUCGAGAUGGAGAGAAGUAUGCGGAAUUCGUGGUGUAGCGGUGAAAUGCAUAGAUAUCACGAAGAACCCCGAUUGCGAAGGCAGCAUACCGGCUCCACACUGACGCUGAGGCACGAAAGCGUGGGUAUCGAACAGGAUUAGAUACCCCUGUAGUC
This 459-nucleotide ribosomal RNA is filed under the name uncultured bacterium. RNAcentral's name for it is "partial 16S ribosomal RNA". It matches the Rfam family "Bacterial small subunit ribosomal RNA", at positions 338 to 795 of the family's 1533-position model. The record is from RNAcentral.